GACCUCAAAUCAGGUAGGACUACCCGCUGAACUUAAGCAUAUCAAUAAGCGGAGGAAAAGAAACUAACAAGGAUUCCCCUAGUAACUGCGAGUGAAGCGGGAAAAGCUCAAAUUUAAAAUCUGGUAGUCUUUGACUGUCCGAGUUGUAAUCUAGAGAAGUGUUAUCCGCGCUGGACCGUGUACAAGUCUCCUGGAAUGGAGCGUCACAGAGGGUGAGAAUCCCGUCUUUGACACGGACUGCCAGUGCUUUGUGAUGCGCUCUCAAAGAGUCGAGUUGUUUGGGAAUGCAGCUCAAAAUGGGUGGUAAAUUCCAUCUAAAGCUAAAUAUUGGCGAGAGACCGAUAGCGAACAAGUACCGUGAGGGAAAGAUGAAAAGAACUUUGGAAAGAGAGUUAAACAGUACGUGAAAUUGCUGAAAGGGAAACGCUUGAAGUCAGUCACAUUGUCUGAGAAUCAACCUUGCUUUUGCUGGGCGUACUUCUCAGAUGAUGGGUCAGCAUCAAUUUUGACCGUUGGAUAAAGUCUGAGGGAAUGUGGCAUCUUAGGAUGUGUUAUAGCCUUUAGUCGCAUACAACGGUUGGGAUUGAGGAACUCAGCACGCCGCAAGGCCGGGUACUUGUACCACGUUCGUGCUUAGGAUGUUGGCAUAAUGGCUUUAAUCGACCCGUCUUGAAACACGGACCAAGGAGUCUAACAUGCCUGCGAGUAUUUGGGUGGAAAACCCGAGUGCGCAAUGAAAGUAAAAGUUGAGAUCCCUGUCAUGGGGAGCAUCGACGCCCGGACCAGACCUUUUGUGACGGAUCUGCGGUAGAGCAUGUAUGUUGGGACCCGAAAGAUGGUGAACUAUGCCUGAAUAGGGUGAAGCCAGAGGAAACUCUGGUGGAGGCUCGUAGCGAUUCUGACGUGCAAAUCGAUCGUCAAAUUUGGGUAUAGGGGCGAAAGACUAAUCGAACCAUCUAGUAGCUGGUUCCU
Molecule: ribosomal RNA, 972 nt
Filed under: Stropharia coronilla
Lineage: Eukaryota; Fungi; Basidiomycota; Agaricomycetes; Agaricales; Strophariaceae
Description: LSU rRNA
Rfam family: Eukaryotic large subunit ribosomal RNA
Source: RNAcentral